Molecule: ribosomal RNA, 249 nt
Filed under: uncultured bacterium
Lineage: Bacteria
Description: partial 16S ribosomal RNA
Rfam family: Bacterial small subunit ribosomal RNA
Source: RNAcentral
GACGUAGGAUGCGAGCGUUACUCGGAAUCACUGGGCGUAAAGCGUCUGUAGGCGUCCCGCGAAGUCUGGUGUGAAAGUGCGGAGCUCAACUCCGUGAGCGUACUGGAAACUGGCGGGAUCGAGGUACUCAGAGGUGCCUGGAAUGCUGUGUGUAGGGGUAAAAUCCGUAGAUACACAGUGGAACGCUCAAAGCGAAGGCAGGGCACUGGGGGUAUUCUGACGCUGAGAGACGAAAGCGUGGGGAGCAAA